Molecule: non-coding RNA, 5194 nt
Organism: Rattus norvegicus (Norway rat)
Lineage: Eukaryota; Metazoa; Chordata; Mammalia; Rodentia; Muridae
Source: RefSeq, a predicted model, not a curated record
GGCCCGGAAACCAGGAAGGGGAAUAACACUCGAAAUGUAAAUAAAUACUCAAGUUAAUAAAGAUAAAAAAUUUUUAAAAAAUUAAAAAAAUAAAGAUAAAAAAGUAUUAAGGUCAUAUUAUUUUAUAUUUACUUAAAAAUACAUAUAAUACCCCUUCUGCCCAUCAUUUAAAAAAAAAAAGAAAUUCAGGACAAUACAGGUAAACAAGUAGAAGCCCUUAAAGAGGAAACACAAAAAUUUCUUAAAGAAUUACAGGAAAACACAACCAAUUAGGUGAAGGAAUUGAACAAAACCAUCCAGGAUCUAAAAAUGGAAGUAGAAACAAUAAAGAAAUCACAAAGGGAGACAAACCUGGAGAUAGGAAACCUAGGAAAGAGAUCAGGAGUCACAGAUGCAAGCAUCACCAACAGAAUACAAGAGACAGAAGAGAGAAUCUCAGGGGCAGAAGAUGCCAUAGAAAAUGAUGACACAACAGUCAAAGAAAAUGCAAAACACAAAAAUCUCCUAACCCCAAACAUCCAGGAAAUCCAGGACACAACGAGAAGAUCAAACCUAAGGAUAAUAUGUAUAAAAGAGAACAAAGACUCCCAACUUAAAAGGCCAGUAAAUAUAGUCAACAAAAUUAUAGAAGAAAACUUCCCUAAUCUAAAGAGAUGCCCAUAAACAUAAAGGAAGCCUACAGAACUCCAAACAGAUUGGACCAGAAAAGAAACUCCUCCUGUCACAUAAUAGUCAAAACAUCAAAUGCACAAAACAAAGAGAGAUAUUAAAAGCAGUAAGGGGAAAGGGUCAAGUAGCAUAUAAAGGCAGACCUAUCAGAAUCACACCAGACUUCUCGCCAGAGACUAUGAAAGCCAGAAGAUCCUGGACAGAUGUCAUACAGACCCUAAGAGAACACAAAUGCCAGCCCAGGCUACUAUAUCCAGCAAAACUCUCAAUUAACAUACAUGUGGAAACCAAGAUAUGCCAUGACAAAACCAAAUUUACACAAUAUCUUUCCACAAAUCCAACCCUACAAAGGAUAAUAGAUGGAAAACUCCAACACAAGGAGGAAAAAUAUACCCUAGAAAAAGCAAGAAAGUAAUCUUAUUGCAAUAAACCCAAAAGAAAAGAGCUAUACAAACAAUUCUACCUCUAACAACAAAAAUAACAGGAAACAACAAUCACUAUGCCUUAACAUUAAUGGACUCAAUUCCCCAAUAAGAAGACAUAGACUAACAGACCGAAUAUGUAAACAGGACCCAGCAUUUUGCUGCAUACAGGAAAUACACCUCAGUGACAAAGACAGACACUACUGAAAAGAAAAUUAUACGAAUUCUAGGUUUAUAAAUAUAAAAAUUAAAAGAAUAAACCCCAAAAGGCCACAGACCCAGGGCUAAGCCCUGCAGCCAGGACUAGCAGGCCAUAAAGAUAAAGGAGCACAGGAAACACUGUUCAGGCAGGACUGACAAGCCAUAAAGAAAAGGAAUGCAGGAACCAGCCUGAGUUAAUGGGACUGAUUCAUGGGACGUCUGGCAGGAAGACAUCUCCCCCCAGCUCACUGAGGGCCAUCCUCCGGCCCCUGAUAAGCCCCUGACUUCUAGCACGUACUCUUUCUGCUUUGUUCUCACUGCUAUGUUUGAAUGAGCCAAUUGUAUGUAACCACGCCAAAACCCCCUAGCCUUCUCUAUAUAACCCUCUGACUUUUGAGUUUCGGGGUCGACACCUCUGUCUCCUGCGCGGGAUACGUGUCGGCCCGGAGAUCUCUGUAAUAGGUCUCCGUAAUAAACCUCACCUUUGCUUAUUACAUCCAAAAUGGUCUCUCUGUGUCUGGGGUCCGCGAUUUCCCAAGACUUGAGUAAGGGUCUCUCUGCGUGGGAUCUUUCAUAUUUAUGGGGGCUCGUCCGGGAUCUUCGCGACCACCCCAGACUCCGAAGACCCCUUGGAGGCUAAAAGACCUACAGGUGAUACAGAAAGAAAUCUGCUCACAGCUGACAGCAGCCUAUGCCCCGGAGACCCCUGAGACAUCCCAUCAGUUCCAGGUCGGAAACAGCUACACUGAGCCCAGACACUCGAGCCUCGCUGGAAAGGACCGUACCUGGUGCUGCUGACCACCCUGACAGCCGUCAAUUCUCAGCCCUCACCAGCCGUGUACUAGCUGUUAGGGCUGAGAGCUGGGACCUAGAGGGAAAUUCAGUCAUGUUUGUCCUGGGUUCCAUCGAGAUAGGUGUGGGGAUAGGCUUGAUUUCUAUUACAAAUGAUGUAACAUUACAUAUGUUAAUACUCCUAACACUUCUUGGGACUGUGCCUCAGGGAUCACUACCUAUAUAAGUUUAGAAGUUCUGAAAGACAGUCAUGACCUUGGUGUAUAGGUUUAGAUAGUGUCCAGAUAGAAUCCUGAUGCCAAAGACUUUUUAGCUGACCUCCAAGAAUACCUAACCUCCCUCUCAGAGGUAGUCCUUCAAAAUAAGAAAAGAUUAGACCUGAUAUUCCUUAAAGAAGGAGCCUGUGUGCUACACUGAAAAAAUGUUGCUUAUUCAAGAGUAAUUAAGGACUCCAUAAAUAAACUUAAAAAAGGUUAGACAAAAGACAGACAGGAAAACACAUCAGAGAUGGUUCGAGAGCUAGUUUAGUAGAUCUCCCUAGAUGACUACCCUACUCUCUGCUACAGCUGGGCCAUUAUUAAUAAUUUUCUUGGUUUUAGUCUUUGGCUCCUGCGUGACAAACAGGUUAAUUGCUUUUGUUAAAAAUUGAGUGGGUGCUGUGCGGUUGAUGGUUGUGAGACAACAGUACCAGUCAGUUAGGACAACUGGUGUGACCAAAUAAGACUUGAUAUCAAAAUUCUAAGAUUAGAAUUAUUUAAUAGGAGAAGACGGGAAUGAAAAGAAAAUUAUACGAAUUCUAGGUUUAUAAAUAUAAAAAUUAAAAGAAUAAACCCCAAAAGGCCACAGACCCAGGGCUAAGCCCUGCAGCCAGGACUAGCAGGCCAUAAAGAUAAAGGAGCACAGGAAACACUGUUCAGGCAGGACUGACAAGCCAUAAAGAAAAGGAAUGCAGGAACCAGCCUGAGUUAAUGGGACUGAUUCAUGGGACGUCUGGCAGGAAGACAUCUCCCCCCAGCUCACUGAGGGCCAUCCUCCGGCCCCUGAUAAGCCCCUGACUUCUAGCACGUACUCUUUCUGCUUUGUUCUCACUGCUAUGUUUGAAUGAGCCAAUUGUAUGUAACCACGCCAAAACCCCCUAGCCUUCUCUAUAUAACCCUCUGACUUUUGAGUUUCGGGGUCGACACCUCUGUCUCCUGCGCGGGAUACGUGUCGGCCCGGAGAUCUCUGUAAUAGGUCUCCGUAAUAAACCUCACCUUUGCUUAUUACAUCCAAAAUGGUCUCUCUGUGUCUGGGGUCCGCGAUUUCCCAAGACUUGAGUAAGGGUCUCUCUGCGUGGGAUCUUUCAACUACCUCAGAGCAAACGCCUUGAAAACCAUUUUCCAAGUAAUUGGUCCCAAGAAACAAACUGGAGUAGCCAUUCUAAUAUUGAAUAAAAUCAACUUUCAACUGUAAGCUAUCAAAAAAGAUAAGGAAGAACACUUCAUACUCAUAAAGGAAAAAUCUACCAAGAUGAACCCUCAAUCCUAAAUAUCUAUGCUCCAAAUGUAAAAGCACACAUAUUCACAAAAGAAACUUUACUAAAGCUCAAAGCACACAUUGCACCUCACACAAUAAUAGUGGGAGAUUUCAACACCCCACUUUUAUCAAUGAACAGAUCAUAUAAACAGAAACUAAACAGAGACACAGUGAAAGUAACAGAAGUUAUGAACCAAAUGGAUUUAACAGUUAUCUACAGAACGUUUCAUCCUAAAACAAAAGAAUAUACCUUCUUCUCAGCACCUCAUGGCACCCUCUCCAAAAUUGACCAUAUAAUCAGUCACAAAACAGACCUCAACAGAUACAAGAAGAUUGAAGUAACUCCAUACAUCCUAUCAGCUCACCACAGACUAGGGCUGGUUUUUAAUAGCAACAAAAAUGAUAGAAAGCCCAAUACACAUGGAAGCUGAAAAACACUCUAGUCAAUGAUAACUUGGUCAAGAAAGAAGUAAAAAAAAAAUUAAAGACUUUUUAGAAUUUAAUGAAACUGAAGGCACAAGAUACCCCAACUUCUGGAACACAAUGAAAGAAGUGCUAAGAGGGGAAACUCAUAGCUCUGAGCACCUCCAAAAAGAAACUGGAGAGAGCAUGCACUAGUAGCUUGACAGCACACCUAAAACCUGUAGAACAAAAAGAAGCAAAUACACACAAGAGUUAGAAAAUUUGAAAAUUCAUUUGGAAUAGCAAAAAACCCAGGAUAGUGAAAACUAUCCUCAACAAUAAAAGAACUUCUCAGGGAAUCACCAUCCCUGAACUCAAGCAGUUGUGACAAAAUCGUGAUAAGAACUGUAUGGUAUUGGUACAGAGAAAGGCAAGCAGAUCAAUGGAAUAGACUUGAAGACCCAGAAAUGAACCCACACACCUAUGGCCACUUGAUCUUUGACAAAGUAGCUAAAACCAUCCAGUGGAAAAAUGAUAGCAUUUUCAAAAAUGGUGCUGGUUCAACUGGAGGUCAGCAUGUAGAACAAUGCAAAUCGAUCCAUUCUUAACGCCCUGAACAAAGCUUAAGUUCAAAUGGAUCAAGGACCUCCACAUCAAACCAGAUACACUCAAACUUAUAGAAGAAAAAGUGAGGAAAAGCCUCAAACACAUGGGCACUGGGUAAAAUUUCCUGAACAGAGCGCCAAUGCUCUAAGAUCAAGACUUGACAAAUGGGACCUCAUAAAAUUGCAAAGUUUCUCUAAGUCAAAGGACACUGUCAUUAGGACAAAACAGUAACCAACAGAUUGGGAAAAGAUCUUUACCAAUCCUACAUCUGAUAGAGGGCUAAUAUCCAAUAUAUACAAAGAACCCAAGAAGUUAGACUCCAGAGAACCAAGUACUACUCAGCUAUCAAAAACAAUGACUUCGUGAAAGUCAUAGGCAAAUGGAUGGAACUAGAAAAUAUCAUCCUGAGUGAGAUAACCCAGUCACAAAAUAACACACAUGGUAUGCACUCACUGACAAAUGGAUAUUAACCCAAAAGCUCAGAAUACCCAAGAUACAAUUCACAGACCACAAAAACCUCUAGAAAAAGGACAACCAAAGCUUGGAUGCUUCGAUCCUUCUUAAAAGGGGAACAAAUAUUCAUAGGA